AUGCACAGAGAACACCCAGAGAGGCUCAUGUGGGCUUCUCUGGUUUUGAAUCUAUGCUAAAUCAACUCUGGUCAUUUCCUCUGCAUAAAGAGAGCCCCCGUCUCACUUUCAUGCAUUCAGUUGAUCAGAACAUGC
This 135-nucleotide small nucleolar RNA is filed under the name Neogobius melanostomus (round goby). RNAcentral's name for it is "Small nucleolar RNA SNORA22 (ENSNMLG00000014804.1)". It matches the Rfam family "Small nucleolar RNA SNORA22". Rfam says of the family: ACA22 is a member of the H/ACA class of snoRNA that guide the sites of modification of uridines to pseudouridines. The record is from Rfam by way of RNAcentral. Lineage: Eukaryota; Metazoa; Chordata; Actinopteri; Gobiiformes; Gobiidae.